AAAAACAAGUUGUUCCGAGUGCCCAUGUGUGGUUGUAGUGUCUCUCUUUGAUUAGCUUUUGUCUGUAGAUGUACUGUCAUAUCAGGUCUUUGAGUCAAA
Non-coding RNA from Ceratotherium simum simum (southern white rhinoceros), 99 nucleotides. The record is from RefSeq and is a predicted model, not a curated record. Lineage: Eukaryota; Metazoa; Chordata; Mammalia; Perissodactyla; Rhinocerotidae.